GAUGAACGCUGGCGGCGUGCCUAAUACAUGCAAGUCGAGCGAACGGACGAGAAGCUUGCUUCUCUGAUGUUAGCGGCGGACGGGUGAGUAACACGUGGAUAACCUACCUAUAAGACUGGGAUAACUUCGGGAAACCGGAGCUAAUACCGGAUAAUAUUUUGAACCGCAUGGUUCAAAAGUGAAAGACGGUCUUGCUGUCACUUAUAGAUGGAUCCGCGCUGCAUUAGCUAGUUGGUAAGGUAACGGCUUACCAAGGCAACGAUGCAUAGCCGACCUGAGAGGGUGAUCGGCCACACUAGAACUGAGACACGGUCCAGACUCCUACGGGAGGCAGCAGUAGGGAAUCUUCCGCAAUGGGCGAAAGCCUGACGGAGCAACGCCGCGUGAGUGAUGAAGGUCUUCGGAUCGUAAAACUCUGUUAUUAGGGAAGAACAUAUGUGUAAGUAACUGUGCACAUCUUGACGGUAUCUAAUCAGAAAGCCACGGCUAACUACGUG
This 497-nucleotide ribosomal RNA is filed under the name uncultured bacterium. RNAcentral's name for it is "partial 16S ribosomal RNA". It matches the Rfam family "Bacterial small subunit ribosomal RNA", at positions 28 to 507 of the family's 1533-position model. The record is from RNAcentral.